This 450-nucleotide long non-coding RNA is filed under the name Zonotrichia albicollis (white-throated sparrow). RNAcentral's name for it is "lncRNA (ENSZALG00000005266.1)". Lineage: Eukaryota; Metazoa; Chordata; Aves; Passeriformes; Passerellidae. The record is from RNAcentral.
CAGACAUCACCCCUGGUAAGUAAUAAAGAGUAAUUAUGGCUUAAAUGCUAUGGGUGUCUGGAAAAACAAUACAUGUAACAUGCAGAAAAUAUUAAAAUUCACCUUUUCUUUCUCACAGCAGCAGCAGCAUCCACUGCUGCACCAGCAGACAUCACCCCUGCAGCAGCAUCCACUGCUGCACCAGCAGACAUCACCCCUGCAGCAGCAUCCACUGCUGCACCAGCAGACAUCACCCCUGCAGCAGCAGCAUCCACUGCUGCAGCAGCAGACAUCACCCCUGGUAAGUAAUAAAGAGUAUGGCUUAAAUGCUAUGGGUGUCUGGAAAAAAAUACAUGUAACAUGCAGAAAAUAUUUAAAUUCAUCUUUUCUUUUUCACAGCAGCAGCAGCAUCCACUGUUGUACCAGCAGACAUCACCCCUGGUAAGUAAUAAAGAGUAACUAUGGCCUACA